RNAcentral lists this ribosomal RNA (495 nucleotides) under uncultured bacterium. Its description in RNAcentral is "partial 16S ribosomal RNA". It matches the Rfam family "Bacterial small subunit ribosomal RNA", at positions 29 to 506 of the family's 1533-position model. The record is from RNAcentral.
AUGAACGCUGGCGGCGUGCCUCAUACAUGCAAGUCGAGCGAACAGACGAGGAGCUUGCUCCUCUGACGUUAGCGGCGGACGGGUGAGUAACACGUGGAUAACCUACCUAUAAGUCUGGGAUAACUUCGGGAAACCGGAGCUAAUACCGGAUAAUAUAUUGAACCGCAUGGUUCAAUAGUGAAAGACGGUUUUGCUGUCACUUAUAGAUGGAUCCGCGCCGCAUUAGCUAGUUGGUAAGGUAACGGCUUACCAAGGCAACGAUGCGUAGCCGACCUGAGAGGGUGAUCGGCCACACUGGAACUGAGACACGGUCCAGACUCCUACGGGAGGCAGCAGUAGGGAAUCUUCCGCAAUGGGCGAAAGCCUGACGGAGCAACGCCGCGUGAGUGAUGAAGGUCUUCGGAUCGUAAAACUCUGUUAUUAGGGAAGAACAAAUGUGUAAGUAACUAUGCACGUCUUGACGGUACCUAAUCAGAAAGCCACGGCUAACUACGU